Molecule: non-coding RNA, 892 nt
Organism: Mauremys mutica (yellowpond turtle)
Lineage: Eukaryota; Metazoa; Chordata; Testudines; Geoemydidae
Source: the annotation of a RefSeq genome assembly
AUGGGUCCUGGUCCUAAAUUGGGUUUUCUAGACCACUGUGAUACAAUGCUGCCCCAGUGCCCCGCUAGGGCCUGUGCUGCACGGAGCGGGGCAGGGCUCAGUGGGGCUGUGUCUCAUGGCCUCGCUCUCUCUCCCUUUGCAGUUAGUGCCACGGCCCCGUCUGUCUUCCCCCUGACCUCCUGCACCAGCGAAGUCACCACCCCCCAGGUCACCUUCGGCUGCCUGGCCAAAGGCUACUUCCCUGAGCCGGUCACCGUGACAUGGAGCCCCAACAUCGGCUCCUCGGGCGUGAGGACCUAUCCCUCCGUGCUGCAACCUUCCAGCGGCCUCUACUCGCUCAGCAGCCAGGUCACCGUCCCGGCCAGCAGCUGGGAGUCUAACACCUAUGGAUGCACCGUACAGCACCAGCCCACCAGCUCCAGCAUCUCCAAGGAAAUCCCAAAGCCCAUCCCCAUUAAACCCCAGGUGGAAGUCUUCUACAACUGCAACAGCCAGUCAGAGGUUGAGCUGGUUUGCUUAAUCUCCGGCUUCUACCCCGAGCGUGUGGACGUGGACUGGCUGGUGAAUGGCGAGAGACGAGCUGGUAACACUGAGCCGCCCACGAAGGACGCUGAUGGCCGCACCUUCAGCACCCGCAGCAAUCUCAGUGUCCCCCAGGGCGAGUGGCUGGCGGGCAAGACGUACACUUGCCAGGUGUACCACCCGGGCACCAAAACCACAACGCAGGCCCACGCCCACAAGUGCCAAGGUUAAUGUCCCCAGGGCUAGGCUGCCGACGAAGAGGAGGGGCAGUGGCGGAUUCAGAGUUACUGGGGCCCUGUGAUCAGCUUCAGUUUUGGGGUCCCCCUUGGGACCCAGCCAAGAAAAAGAACAUUCUCUGUUAUCUGCCCCC